This 807-nucleotide ribosomal RNA is filed under the name Triticum aestivum (bread wheat). RNAcentral's name for it is "partial small subunit ribosomal RNA". Lineage: Eukaryota; Viridiplantae; Streptophyta; Magnoliopsida; Poales; Poaceae. The record is from RNAcentral.
AUGGACAAGAAGGCUGGUGCCGAAAGGGUCUCGGCGGAGGAGAACUGCUCCGGGAAGAAGGCUAAGGUUACGGCUGAGGUGACGAAGAUCACUCUCAACGUAAACCCCAAGUUGCUGGAGUGCUCUGGUUGUUGCAGUCCGUUGGUUCCACCAAUUUUUCAGUGCGCAAAUGGCCACAUCACAUGCUUAAAGUGUUGCGCCGAUCUGAAGCAACGUAGUUGCGGCUUGUGUGCCUCGGAGCGCACCGGCUGCCACGUCUGGGGGCGCAUCCUCGGCGGCCUGACCAUGCCGUGCUCGUUCAAGGAGCACGGGUGCACCGAGACGAUCCCGUUCACGGAGAAGCUAGCCCAUGAAGAGUCCUGCCUCCAUGCCCCAUGCCACUGUCCCAUCGCUGGCUCCCGCCCCUACCGUGGACGGUCCCUGCGCGACCACAUCAACAUGGAGCACGCUACAAUCCAGUACACCCGUGUCACAGCCAGCAGCCUCUCCCCCCUGAGCAUGCGCAACGACGAGCCAGCCCGCCUGGUGUCCCUCGGCAGCAGGGCGGUGUUUCUCCUUGUGGUCGACCGCAGCAUCCCAUCGGGGCGUGCACUGUCGGUGAUCCACCUCGUGAGUGACCCGAUAGAAAAGGAGGAUUUCAAGUACAAGAUCGAAGUGCAUACGCGGAUUGGCAUUCUCUCUGUGUCCGGCAGCAAGACACCGAGCGUCGGGCGGCUGACGACGACGUACCAGGCGGGUGCGUCGCUGCUCGUCUCGGACAUUGUGUGGUCUCCCCAGGAUUCUCCCGUGUACCUCGAGCUGAAAUGA